RNAcentral lists this long non-coding RNA (678 nucleotides) under Helianthus annuus (common sunflower). Its description in RNAcentral is "sRNA HanXRQr2_Chr04g0181111". Lineage: Eukaryota; Viridiplantae; Streptophyta; Magnoliopsida; Asterales; Asteraceae. The record is from RNAcentral.
AUUAACAAAGAUGAAAAGUACGACAGAAAGUUAAAGUCUGGACUCUAUUCUCUGUAGGUAAAUCAUUGACUAUUGACUUUUUCAUUUUUUAACAAGACUAAUCUCCAUUCUCCACUAUUGGACUUGUGCAUGUGAACUUGUGUUAAAAAGAAAACUUUCGAGACUAAUCAAACAAAUCCAACAACUGAACCAGGUGGUUUGCGUUUAUUGCUAUUUUUUUUAUUCAGUUGCAUGUUUAGUUAUUGUAGUAAUACUAAAGAGUUGAUAUCUACAUGUAUAUUGCUUUAUACAACAUGUGCAAAACUUUGGGCAACCAUUCUUCCCGGCAAUUCGGGUGGGUGAGACAUUAGUUGAAGAACGAGUUAUAGAUGUAUGAGGAGUUUUACAUGGCAUAUGAGUCUGGAAAUAAAGUACUGAACAACAUCAUAUAUGGACCUGGAGGAAAUAAGUACUGAUAUUGUAAGGUAAUUGAUUAUUCACUUUAAUUUGCAUUGAAGUAGGGAUCAUUUGUUUUGUUUAUAGCUAUAUAUUUUAUACAGAGACUUGAUGUUUUUAAGUUGUAUUUUUACUCAUUCUUAAACAAUAAUGUGAUGUUUGCAUGCCUUUAGUUUACAUUUUCAUAAGCUCAUGACUUUCAUUUUGCGGCAUAUAGUAAAACGUCUGCUUGGUUUAGGUGAU